GAUGAACGCUGGCGGCGUGCCUAAUACAUGCAAGUCGAGCGAACAGACGAGGAUCUUGCUCCUCUGAAGUUACCGGCGGACGAGUGAGUAACACGUGGAUAACCUAUCUCUAAGACUGGGAUAACGUCGGGAAACCGGAGCUAAUACCGGAUAAUAUAUUGAACCGCAUGGUUCAAUAGUGAAAGACGGUUUUGCUGUCACUUAUAGAUGGAUCCGCGCCGCAUUAGCUAGUUGGUAAGGUAACGGCUUACCAAGGCAACGAUGCGUAGCCGACCUGAGAGGGGGAUCGGGCACACUGGAAGUGAGACACGGCCCAGACUCCUACAGGAGGCAGCAGUAGGGAAUCUUCCGCAAUGGGCGAAAGCCUGACGGAGCGACGCCGCGUGGGUGAAGAAGGUCUGCGGAUCGUAAAACUGUGUUAGUAGGGAAGAACGAUUGUGUAAAUAACGAUGCACGGCUUGACGGUACCUAGUCAGAAAGCCACGGCUAACUACGUG
RNAcentral lists this ribosomal RNA (497 nucleotides) under uncultured bacterium. RNAcentral's name for it is "partial 16S ribosomal RNA". It matches the Rfam family "Bacterial small subunit ribosomal RNA", at positions 28 to 507 of the family's 1533-position model. The record is from RNAcentral.